RNAcentral lists this ribosomal RNA (1398 nucleotides) under uncultured bacterium. RNAcentral describes it as "partial 16S ribosomal RNA". It matches the Rfam family "Bacterial small subunit ribosomal RNA". The record is from RNAcentral.
AACGAACGCUGGCGGCACGCCUAACACAUGCAAGUCGAGCGCUACCUUCGGGUGGAGCGGCGGACGGGUUAGUAACGCGUGGGAAUAUGCCCAUCACUAAGGAAUAGCCACUGGAAACGGUGAAUAAUACCUUAUACGCCCUUCGGGGGAAAGAUUUAUCGGUGAUGGAUUAGCCCGCGUAAGAUUAGAUAGUUGGUGGGGUAACGGCCUACCAAGUCGACGAUCUUUAGCUGGUUUGAGAGGAUGAUCAGCAACACUGGGACUGAGACACGGCCCAGACUCCUACGGGAGGCAGCAGUGGGGAAUCUUAGACAAUGGGCGAAAGCCUGAUCUAGCGAUGCCGCGUGAGUGAUGAAGGUCCUAGGAUCGUAAAGCUCUUUCGCCAAGGAUGAUAAUGACAGUACUUGGUAAAGAAGCCCCGGCUAACUCCGUGCCAGCAGCCGCGGUAAUACGGAGGGGGCUAGCGUUGUUCGGAAUUACUGGGCGUAAAGCGCACGUAGGCGGAUUAAAAAGUUAGAGGUGAAAUCCCAGGGCUUAACCCUGGAACUGCCUUUAAAACUAGUAGUCUAGAGUUCGAGAGAGGUGAGUGGAAUUCCAAGUGUAGAGGUGAAAUUCGUAGAUAUUUGGAGGAACACCAGUGGCGAAGGCGGCUCUCUGGGCCAUUCCUGACGCUGAGAUGCGAAAGCUAGGGGAGAGAACGGGAUUAGAAACCCCGGUAUUCCUAGCCGUAAACGAUGUCAACUAGGUGUAGGAGGUAUUAACCCCUUCUGUGCUGUAGCUAACGCGUUAAGUUGACCGCCUGGGGACUACGGCCGCAAGGCUAAAACUCAAAGGAAUUGACGGGGACCCGCACAAGCAGCGGAGCGUGUGGUUUAAUUCGAGGCUACGCGAAGAACCUUACCAGGGCUUGACAUAUACGUGGUAGUGAAGCGAAAGCGGAAUGACCCUUCGGGGAGCGUAUACAGGUGCUGCAUGGCUGUCGUCAGCUCGUGCCGUGAGGUGUUAGGUUAAGUCCUGUAACGAGCGCAACCCUCGUCGUUAGUUAUACGUGUCUAACGAGACCGCCGGUGAUAAACCGGAGGAAGGUGGGGAUGACGUCAAGUCAGCAUGGCCUUUAUGUCCUGGGCUACACACACGCUACAAUGGCCGAUACAAUGGGUAGCCAAGCCGCGAGGUGGAGCCAAUCCUUCAAAGUCGGUCUCAGUUCGGAUUGUAGGCUGCAACUCGCCUGCACGAAGUCGGAGUUGCUAGUAAACGCGCGUCAGCAACAGUGCGUUGAAUACGUUCCCGGGUCUUGUACACACCGCCCGUCACGUCAUGGAAGUUGGCAACGCCUGAAGUCGGUGAGCUAACCCUAACGGGAGGCAGCCGCCCAAGGCGGGGUCGGUAACUGGGACG